GCAGGCAAAAAUGUAGGCCGGUCACGGAGGUAGUGGAAUACCGGGACGACCCGCGGCAGAGGCACCACAACACGGGUAGCGGCGAUGGCUUCCGCUCUACGCCUGCCCGACGGCUGGAAAACCGUCAUCGACGACUCCGUUCCCGUCGCGGCAGUCCCGGUAAAGCCGCUUGUAGUGGUUGACGCAGCCUGCCGUAGAAUAUUUUCAUCAAGGCAUAGGCGGCGACGAGGCAAGGCCUCGAAGUCCCCUCAUGAGACCCGGAGCCCGGAUCAAUAAACUGUGCCGGAUUUAAAAUAAAGUUGUUUCCAUCCA
Dermacentor andersoni is the source of this 312-nucleotide non-coding RNA. Lineage: Eukaryota; Metazoa; Arthropoda; Arachnida; Ixodida; Ixodidae. The record is from RefSeq and is a predicted model, not a curated record.